Molecule: ribosomal RNA, 403 nt
Filed under: uncultured Lachnospiraceae bacterium
Lineage: Bacteria; Bacillati; Bacillota; Clostridia; Lachnospirales; Lachnospiraceae
Description: bacterial SSU rRNA
Rfam family: Bacterial small subunit ribosomal RNA
Source: RNAcentral
UGGGGAAUAUUGCACAAUGGGGGAAACCCGUGAUGCAGCGACGCCGCGUGAGUGAAGAAGUAUUUCGGUAUGUAAAGCUCUAUCAGCAGGGAAGAAAAUGACGGUACCUGACUAAGAAGCCCCGGCUAACUACGUGCCAGCAGCCGCGGUAAUACGUAGGGGGCAAGCGUUAUCCGGAUUUACUGGGUGUAAAGGGAGCGUAGACGGCUUGUCAAGUCUGAUGUGAAAGCCCGGGGCUCAACCCCGGCACUGCAUUGGAAACUGGUGAGCUGGAGUGCAGGAGAGGUAAGUGGAAUUCCUAGUGUAGCGGUGAAAUGCGUAGAUAUUAGGAGGAACACCAGUGGCGAAGGCGGCUUACUGGACUGUAACUGACGUUGAGGCUCGAAAGCGUGGGGAGCAAACA